AUAUAAUACAUCAAUAUCAAGAUAUUUCGACUUCAAGUUUAAGUCGUUAUACAGAGUAAAUAUAAUAACAUAUCAUGUCUUUACAUAUAAUGUGCGCAUGCGUUUUAGUAGCAUUGAUGGGUCCAGAUGAAUGUUCGAGGUUCAAGUCUCAAACGUUUCGAAAACAUUCCAUCCAAUAAGGUGGAAGUCUUUGUUAUUCUUCCUUCAAGUCGUGCAAACGGGAAUGCGAGACGGAAACUUGAUUUUUAACGCUUUUCCAAGAGACCAUAAAAGGUAUGAAUAAGUAGCAGUAUACCAAACAAACUGUAAUUAAGACAAGUAAUCGCGAAUCAUCUUUUCAAGCAGCCACAGCGAAAGUUGAAAACAAGAUCAAGGAGAGCGAUGGGCGGUGCAGUUGCCAUUAUGUGUGAAGUGUCUCUACAACCCUGCUACCGUCAACACCACCACCGAUGCCGCCGUUACUGCUGACGUCUCUAAAACUACCAUCAUCACCACUGUCUAUCAAGUUGAUUUGAAUAUUUUAUAUAACAUUACAUUUAUGAAAAUCCUA
Molecule: long non-coding RNA, 550 nt
Organism: Penaeus monodon (black tiger shrimp)
Lineage: Eukaryota; Metazoa; Arthropoda; Malacostraca; Decapoda; Penaeidae
Exons: 2
Source: RefSeq, a predicted model, not a curated record